This 74-nucleotide transfer RNA is filed under the name Felis catus (domestic cat). It matches the Rfam family "tRNA". Rfam says of the family: Transfer RNA (tRNA) molecules are approximately 80 nucleotides in length. Their secondary structure includes four short double-helical elements and three loops (D, anti-codon, and T loops). Lineage: Eukaryota; Metazoa; Chordata; Mammalia; Carnivora; Felidae. The record is from Rfam by way of RNAcentral.
ACCUGGCUGGCUUAGUCAGUAGAGCAUGAGACUCUCGAUCUCAGGGUCAUGAGUUUUGAGCCCCAUGUUGGGCA